This 82-nucleotide transfer RNA is filed under the name Ixodes scapularis (black-legged tick). It matches the Rfam family "tRNA". Rfam says of the family: Transfer RNA (tRNA) molecules are approximately 80 nucleotides in length. Their secondary structure includes four short double-helical elements and three loops (D, anti-codon, and T loops). Further hydrogen bonds mediate the characteristic L-shaped molecular structure. tRNAs have two regions of fundamental functional importance: the anti-codon, which is responsible for specific mRNA codon recognition, and the 3' end, to which the tRNAs corresponding amino acid is attached (by aminoacyl-tRNA synthetases). tRNAs cope with the degeneracy of the genetic code in two manners: having more than one tRNA (with a specific anti-codon) for a particular amino acid; and 'wobble' base-pairing, i.e. permitting non-standard base-pairing at the 3rd anti-codon position. The record is from Rfam by way of RNAcentral. Lineage: Eukaryota; Metazoa; Arthropoda; Arachnida; Ixodida; Ixodidae.
GCAGUCGUGGCCGAGUGGUUAAUUCGAUGGGCUAGAAAUCCACUGGGGUCUCCCCGCACAGGUUCGAAUCCUGUCGACUGCG